ACCGCGAUAGUUCAGCUGGUAGAGCAUCUGCCCGGUAUGCGGAUGGUCGCCGGUUCGAUUCCGGCUCGCGGCG
RNAcentral lists this transfer RNA (73 nucleotides) under Fasciola hepatica (liver fluke). It matches the Rfam family "tRNA". From Rfam's summary of the family: Transfer RNA (tRNA) molecules are approximately 80 nucleotides in length. Their secondary structure includes four short double-helical elements and three loops (D, anti-codon, and T loops). The record is from Rfam by way of RNAcentral. Lineage: Eukaryota; Metazoa; Platyhelminthes; Trematoda; Plagiorchiida; Fasciolidae.